Talpa occidentalis (Iberian mole) is the source of this 863-nucleotide long non-coding RNA. RefSeq lists it as uncharacterized. The transcript has 8 exons. The record is from RefSeq and is a predicted model, not a curated record. Lineage: Eukaryota; Metazoa; Chordata; Mammalia; Eulipotyphla; Talpidae.
CAUAAUUUGGGGGGACGGGGCAUGCCAGGAACACAAGUCCUCCGUGGAGAGUGAGCACACACCAUGUCUCUACUUUAAGCCUGGUGAGGUCUGAAUAACAGUCAUAGAAUUCUCAGAUGACAGUUUCCAUCCAGACUAAAUCCAUCCCAGGGGCUGACUAUCUCCACUGCAGUGAAAGAUCAAGUCUUGCCUGGAUCCUAGACCGGCCACUCCACCGCUGGAGAAUCUGAGCACCUGUCUCCCCUUUGCCCACGGCUUCGUUCUCAGGGAGGCCAGCAGCCACACUGUAUCAACUCUGCUUGUGGAGAGUGCUUUUUGCAAAGAUCUGAGGGCAGCCACUGACCAACAGUCAGCAUGGUGUUGAGGCUCCCAGCACAACAGCCUUGAAGAAAUAAAAGCUGCUAACAACCCGUCAGUGAGCUUGGAAGCCAGUCCUCCCGCAGUUGAGUCUGCAGGGUUUAUCCAGGACAACCACAUCCAGGAACUUUCCCUUCCCACUGAGCUGCUCCUAGCAUUGGGGAAGCUAUGCUGCUGGUUUCCAGCAGGAGACACACAUCAGCCAUUGUGAAGAAGGAAGAGGUCCUUCCUGGACUGAGCAAGUCUACACAGUCGUUUCCAUCACCCAGAGGUCAAAACCUCUCUCCCCUUUGAGAAUGUCUCCUGAUGAUUACACAGCACCUGGGCACAGAGAAGUUAAGCAUCUUCACCAAGAUUGUAGAGCCACUUCAUACUAUUAAAGUUCUUACAGAUGUCCCAUGGUUAUGAAGAUGGACCAAAUGGAAACUUAAACUCUGCACUGUCCUUACAGCUGUCCUGUGAAUCUAAAAUUGUUCCAAAGUAAAAAUUAAAAAUAAAAAGAUGAA